This is a long non-coding RNA of Etheostoma cragini (Arkansas darter), 253 nucleotides long. RefSeq lists it as uncharacterized. The transcript has 3 exons. NCBI's taxonomy places the organism in Eukaryota, Metazoa, Chordata, Actinopteri, Perciformes, Percidae. The record is from RefSeq and is a predicted model, not a curated record.
UGUUACCAUGAAACCAUCCAGCAAUUAGACAGUACCGUAGGGAUGUUACCUGAAACCGGUGAUUUAACGUCAACUCUCAUUUUACACAAAACAAAACACUGAGUGAACAUUACUAGCUACCUUUUUCCUGUUGGUUUUGAGUGGUAUGCACCCCCACUCACCUGUAAAAACAGUUUUAAAACAGUAGCCAACGUUAAUACAGCGUGUCGGAGGAAUACAGCGUCUCCUGCAGCGGGGGUCAGAGGAGAGAGGG